AUUGAACGUUGGCGGCAUGCUUUACACAUGCCAGUCGAACGGUAACAGGCCGCAAGGUGCUGACGAGUGGCGAACGGGUGAGUAAUGCAUCGGAACGUGCCCAGUCGUGGGGGAUAACUACUCGAAAGAGUAGCUAAUACCGCAUACGAUCUAUGGAUGAAAGCGGGGGACCGUAAGGCCUCGCGCGAUUGGAGCGGCCGAUGUCAGAUUAGGUAGUUGGUGGGGUAAAGGCUCACCAAGCCAACGAUCUGUAGCUGGUCUGAGAGGACGACCAGCCACACUGGGACUGAGACACGGCCCAGACUCCUACGGGAGGCAGCAGUGGGGAAUUUUGGACAAUGGGCGCAAGCCUGAUCCAGCAAUGCCGCGUGCAGGAAGAAGGCCUUCGGGUUGUAAACUGCUUUUGUACGGAACGAAACGGCUCUGGUUAAUACCCGGGGCUAAUGACGGUACCGUAAGAAUAAGCACCGGCUAACUACGUG
Molecule: ribosomal RNA, 482 nt
Filed under: uncultured bacterium
Lineage: Bacteria
Description: partial 16S ribosomal RNA
Rfam family: Bacterial small subunit ribosomal RNA
Source: RNAcentral